CAAUUGGCCUUUAAUUGGGGUCGGGCAUGAAAGGAUAAAUCAAAGUAUUACUGUCUCAAUAAAAUAUAUACUAAUGAAAUUACUUAUUGGGUGAAAAUUCCCAAACAAUAGAUAAUAGACGAGAAGACCCUUAGACUUUCUCCUAAUUAUAUUAGAUUUAUAUGAAGGCUUUGUUGGGGCGACAAAAUGUCAACAUAUAAUUAACACAUUCAUUAAUUUUUCGUAAUUUAACAAGUUUUAUUUCUAAUAAUAGAAGUACCUAAGGGAUAACAGCAUUAUUAAAUUAUUACAUUG
This 294-nucleotide ribosomal RNA is filed under the name Clessinia stelzneri. RNAcentral's name for it is "partial 16S ribosomal RNA". The record is from RNAcentral. Lineage: Eukaryota; Metazoa; Mollusca; Gastropoda; Stylommatophora; Odontostomidae.